UCCGCAGUAGCUCAUCCGGUACAUUUCUCGUCCAGGACGUGGAUACGAGACGAUCCGGGUUCGAAUCCCAGCUGCGGAA
Molecule: non-coding RNA, 79 nt
Organism: Sphenostylis stenocarpa
Lineage: Eukaryota; Viridiplantae; Streptophyta; Magnoliopsida; Fabales; Fabaceae
Source: the annotation of a GenBank genome assembly